Molecule: long non-coding RNA, 1661 nt
Filed under: Equus caballus (horse)
Lineage: Eukaryota; Metazoa; Chordata; Mammalia; Perissodactyla; Equidae
Description: lncRNA (ENSECAG00000039070.3)
Source: RNAcentral
CAGAAAUAUAUGGUGAAUAUUUGCUCUUCAAAGAUUAGUCAUAGUUAGAGGUUGCCUAGAUCAGAAGUCAGCGCAGCUCUUGUCGUCAGAAAAACACAUACACACGCAUAAUUGUUGCAUACAAAACCAAAGCAUUUCAGGCAGGUAAAAGGUAAGCCUUUUAGGUCUAGGCUUUCCAAAAAGAAAUGCGGCCAUCUUCCUAGGGAACCCAUCAAGGUAUUUAGCAAUUUAUACUGUUGGGAAAGUCUUUCUUUAAAAUAAACAGAAUGUCUAUGCUUCAAGUGUAUUUCCUCAUGUUCUAGUCUUAGCAGAGUUCAAGUACAGUUGGUUGCCACCCUCUGAAUAAUACUUCUUCAAAUAUUGGAGGAUUUACAGCAGCUUCCUCUCACUCUUCUCUUCUCCAGGACAAAUCAUCUCAGUGCCUUUAACCUCUGCAGAGCAUGCUGGAAUGCUCUGAUUCUAUUAAAGUGCUUGGCACCCCACGGACCUUAAUAAAAUACUCUGGAUAUACUGGCUAACGGGUUGACUUUUGCCAUAGAUCUUAUUUCCCAAACUUCUAAACAUGCCUGUAGCUUUCCUGUCCAAGUUCAAAUAUAGUAUAACACAUCACAAGUGCUGAGAAGCAGGAAGUCCAUCGCUGAAUCUGGCACUACAGUCCUGAGUGGAAAAUACCAUUUGUUUCCUUGACAAUCUCUCCUUGGUAACUGGACAAAGUGGGGAGCCAAGGGUUAAUGAUACGGUGGAAGAGCCUUGACACCCUACCAGUUCUCAGAGGACAGGGAAGGGUGGCAGUGACUGGAAACUGCUUAAAUUCCUAGCGCUGUUCAACAGGAAGUUGGAGAAAAGGUCUAAAGGUCUAAUGGCCUCAUAAUUAAGGGCUUCUUCUACUCCACAAGUUUAUAAUCAGGAGUUGUCCUGCAGGAAGAAAAGCAAAGGACACAACAAAUGAGAAAGUCACUUUUGCGUUGAGAAUUGGCUAGCCUAGAGGAUGGAAGGCAGAAGACCUUUCCAACACGUUAAGAGCCAAAAGACUACCUUUUAGUGUUUGUUUUGAUUAUAUUUGCCUGUAACCCAGCAACUGGGCCCAGAUGCCAGGAGCCCAAAGAGAACACUGCUGAUGACUGGUGUAUGGAAAGAAAAAGAAUUCCUUUUGUUUUCUUACUUUUAUGGUUCUUCUCAAGAUAUACAGAAAAAGGAGAAUACAAAGCAGGUCCUUCUUGAUCAUCUUUGUAACCAGAUCUUACAGGAAACAGCAGAAGGAGCUCUGGCUGGUGGUCAGGCAUCACUCCCACCUUGGCCUGGUGUUUUCAGGAUAGGCCAGUUGGAUGUGGUGGAAAUUGCAUGAAGAGGAAUUGAGUAGGUCUGGAUCGUCAAUAACUUGGUAUGUAAUCCUGGGCGAAUCCCUUUUCCUUGAGAUCACUCUCUCAUCUGGAAUACAUCAGUGGUUUUCAAAUUGUGCUCCAGCAGAACACGGCUGAUCCAGAAGCUAGACCAAGGAACACUGGUGGUCUCUAUACAAUUCACAGAAAACUGAAGUGGAAUAAAAUGUCCCCCCUUUGCUGUCGCUUAGUUAUUUCUAUUUAUUAUAACAUUUCCUGCACUGAAUAGAUUUUUCUGAGCAUACACAACUGUUUCUUCAAUUUGAGAUACCAAUAAACAGC